ACAGCAGCAACAGCAGCAGCAGCAACAGCAGCAGCAGCAGCAGCAGCAACAGCAGCAGCAGCAGCAGCAACAGCAGCAACAGCAGCAACAGCAGCAACAGCAGCAACAGCAGCAACAGCAGCAGCAGCAGCAGCAACAGCAGC
This 143-nucleotide microRNA precursor is filed under the name Mus musculus (house mouse). RNAcentral describes it as "predicted gene, 56446 (ENSMUSG00002075990.1)". Lineage: Eukaryota; Metazoa; Chordata; Mammalia; Rodentia; Muridae. The record is from RNAcentral.